Molecule: ribosomal RNA, 222 nt
Filed under: uncultured bacterium
Lineage: Bacteria
Description: partial 16S ribosomal RNA
Rfam family: Bacterial small subunit ribosomal RNA
Source: RNAcentral
AGUAAUGUCUGGGAAACUGCCUGAUGGAGGGGGAUAACUACUGGAAACGGUAGCUAAUACCGCAUAAUGUCGCAAGACCAAAGUGGGGGACCUUCGGGCCUCAUGCCAUCAGAUGUGCCCAGAUGGGAUUAGCUAGUAGGUGGGGUAACGGCCCACCUAGGCGACGAUCCCUAGCUGGUCUGAGAGGAUGACCAGCCACACUGGAACUGAGACACGGUCCAG